RNAcentral lists this ribosomal RNA (253 nucleotides) under uncultured bacterium. RNAcentral describes it as "partial 16S ribosomal RNA". It matches the Rfam family "Bacterial small subunit ribosomal RNA", at positions 524 to 776 of the family's 1533-position model. The record is from RNAcentral.
UACGUAGGGCGCAAGCGUUAUCCGGAAUUAUUGGGCGUAAAGAGCUCGUAGGCGGUUUGUCGCGUCUGCUGUGAAAACCUAAGGCUCAACCUUGGGCUUGCAGUGGGUACGGGCAGACUAGAGUGCGGUAGGGGUGACUGGAAUUCCUGGUGUAGCGGUGGAAUGCGCAGAUAUCAGGAGGAACACCGAUGGCGAAGGCAGGUCUCUGGGCCACUACUGACGCUGAGAAGCGAAAGCAUGGGGAGCGAACAGG